RNAcentral lists this ribosomal RNA (537 nucleotides) under Schmidtea mediterranea. RNAcentral's name for it is "16S ribosomal RNA". It matches the Rfam family "Bacterial large subunit ribosomal RNA", at positions 1794 to 2697 of the family's 2925-position model. The record is from RNAcentral. Lineage: Eukaryota; Metazoa; Platyhelminthes; Tricladida; Dugesiidae.
CUACAACUGUUUUUUAAAAACAUUUCAUUUUUUGUAAAAUGUAGUCCCUGCUCACUGAUAAGUUAAAUAGCUGCAGUACUUUGACUGUACGAAGGUAGCAUAAUUACUUGUCUACUAAUUCUAGAAUUGUUUGAAUGGGUUUAUUGAUAGAUAGCAAGUUUUUAUUUAGCCUUGUUUUUUAAUUUAUACUUUCUGUAAAGAUACAGUUUGUUAUUUCAAGGACGAAAAGACCCUAGAGAGUUUUUAACUUAGUGGUGUUUCUUACUUUAGUUAUUUGUUGGGGUAACGGUAUUUAUUUUGAAUACUUAUUUAUUACAUUAUGAACUUCCUUAGGGAUAACAGGGAUAUAGAAUCUUGGAGGACAUAUCGAAGAUUUUGUUUUCUACCUCGAUGUUGAAUUGUAGUUAAAGAUAGGUGUAGAGGCCUUUACUUUUAGUCUGUUCGACUAAUAAUAUUAUUCGUGAUUUGAGUUUAGACCGAUGUGAAUCAGGUUGGUUUUUAUCCUGAAUUUCUGUCCAUUGUACGAAAGGAAUUGGA